GACGAACGCUGGCGGCGUGCUUAACACAUGCAAGUCGAACGGAAAGGUGCUGCGCUUGCUCGUCUGUCGUUAGCGGAGCGCGUGAGUAACACGCGAGUAUCCUCUCCUUGACUGUCUGAGAUCUUCACGGAACUGCGGCGAUUAUCCCGUAGAAUCUCUUGCUGCACGUGGGUCGUUGGAAAGUGUCGGCCGUUGUGGAUGGUCUGGCGGGUUACCAGCUGGUUGGUGGGGUAGUGGCUUACCAAGGCUUUGACGGGUAGCCCGCCUGAGAGGCGUGCCGGCGUCCUUGGGCCUGCGGUACGGACCAGACUCCAACGGGAGGCAGCGGUGGGGAGUAUGACACAAUGGGCGGAAGCCUGAUACAGCAACGCCGCGUGCGGGAUGACGGCUUUCGGGUUGUAAACCACUUUCGAAUGUAACGAAGCGGGAGUGACGGUAAUGGGUCAAAAAGCCACGGCUAACUACGUG
RNAcentral lists this ribosomal RNA (468 nucleotides) under uncultured bacterium. RNAcentral describes it as "partial 16S ribosomal RNA". It matches the Rfam family "Bacterial small subunit ribosomal RNA", at positions 28 to 507 of the family's 1533-position model. The record is from RNAcentral.